AACGAACGCUGGCGGCAGGCUUAACACAUGCAAGUCGAGCGCCUCGCAAGAGGAGCGGCAGACGGGUGAGUAACGCGUGGGAACGUACCCUUAUCUUCGGAAUAGCUCUGGGAAACUGGAAGUAAUACCGAAUGUGCCCUUAGGGGGAAAGAUUUAUCGGAUAAGGAUCGGCCCGCGUUGGAUUAGCUAGUUGGUGGGGUAAAGGCCUACCAAGGCGACGAUCCAUAGCUGGUCUGAGAGGAUGAUCAGCCACAUUGGGACUAAGACACGGCCCAAACUCCUACGGGAGGCAGCAGUGGGGAAUAUUGGACAAUGGGCGCAAGCCUGAUCCAGCCAUGCCGCGUGAGUGAUGAAGGCCUUAGGGUUGUAAAGCUCUUUCACCGGAGAAGAUAAUGACGGUAUCCGGAGAAGAAGCCCCGGCUAACUUCGUG
RNAcentral lists this ribosomal RNA (431 nucleotides) under uncultured bacterium. Its description in RNAcentral is "partial 16S ribosomal RNA". It matches the Rfam family "Bacterial small subunit ribosomal RNA", at positions 29 to 507 of the family's 1533-position model. The record is from RNAcentral.